UAGGGAAUCUUCCGCAAUGGGCGAAAGCCUGACGGAGCAACGCCGCGUGAGUGAUGAAGGUCUUCGGAUCGUAAAACUCUGUUAUUAGGGAAGAACAAAUGUGUAAGUAACUAUGCACGUCUUGACGGUACCUAAUCAGAAAGCCACGGCUAACUACGUGCCAGCAGCCGCGGUAAUACGUAGGUGGCAAGCGUUAUCCGGAAUUAUUGGGCGUAAAGCGCUCGUAGGCGGUUUUUUAAGUCUGAUGUGAAAGCCCACGGCUCAACCGUGGAGAGUAAUUGGAAACUGGAAAACUUAAGUGCAGAAGAGGAAAGUGGAAUUCCAGAUGUAGCGGUGAAAUGCGCAGAGUUAUGGAGGAACACCAGUGGCGAAGGCAACUUUCUGGUCUGUAACAAACGCUAAUGUGCGAAAGCAGGGGGAUCAAACAGG
RNAcentral lists this ribosomal RNA (429 nucleotides) under Actinomycetes bacterium. RNAcentral's name for it is "Actinobacteria bacterium partial 16S ribosomal RNA". It matches the Rfam family "Bacterial small subunit ribosomal RNA", at positions 355 to 776 of the family's 1533-position model. The record is from RNAcentral. Lineage: Bacteria; Bacillati; Actinomycetota; Actinomycetes.